UUCGAGUGGCGGACGGGUGAGUAACGCGUGGGUAACCUGCCUUACACAGGGGGAUAACACCUGGAAACAGGUGCUAAUACCGCAUAAGCGCACAGGGCCGCAUGGCCCGGUGUGAAAAACUCCGGUGGUGUAAGAUGGACCCGCGUCUGAUUAGCUUGUUGGCGGGGUAGGGGCCCACCAAGGCGACGAUCAGUAGCUGGCCUGAGAGGGUGGACGGCCACAUUGGGACUGAGACACGGCCCAAACUCCUACGGAAGGCAGCAG
RNAcentral lists this ribosomal RNA (264 nucleotides) under uncultured bacterium. Its description in RNAcentral is "partial 16S ribosomal RNA". It matches the Rfam family "Bacterial small subunit ribosomal RNA", at positions 90 to 354 of the family's 1533-position model. The record is from RNAcentral.